AGGGCUCUCAUAAAUUAUACCGCACAAAUGGUUUCACGUUAUCUCUUCCUGGAGGUGAAAGGAAACAGCUGAUGGUUCCGGGUCAAGUUGAGGCACCUCUGACCUCCAGCCCCCAGAGCCACAGCGCCGCCUGCUGGUGGAGCCCCGCCAGAACUGACAUAGACUCGUCCAGCCUCCAGGUGCACCCACGCCCUUUUCUUGCACCAAGAAGCUGAGCAGCCUCUCUCUACUCUCUGUGACCGUCCUCUUUGGCCUCCGCAUGGUUCAGCCUGGAAUCCUGAAGAGUCUGCACCGAAACCUGGAUAUUGCCCAGAGUUUACUCUAUCCUGCCCUUUCACCCUCUUACCUGUGUGCUGCACUAUAAAGCCUGCCUGGGGAUCGAGAAGUAUUGCUUCUUCAACUGUCAACAUCAGUGUACAGAGCUUUGGUGGACUUUGGAUUGAGGUGGAAACUCCUUAGCCAAGCCUGAGGAGACGCUGGUGCUACAGGCUCUGAUUUGGAUAACUGGUCUCCAAUUUGUCCAUGAUCUUCCCAGGCCCAAGAUGUCAUUUCAGAGUUAAAUGCUUGUUAAUAUGACAAGAAGACAAAGAGAUAAAGCAUUGUAUAUUUAAAACCACAGAAAAAUCUGUAAGACUGCUGGAUCUCCUCUCUCUCUCCCUGUCUCUCUCUCCAUCCUUUAUGGCUUUUCCCUUAGGAUCUGAAAAAAGGAUAUGAUUAAUAUUUCACAUUUAGUUAAGGACCACAAAGGUAGUAGAAGUCUGGACAAGUCUUCCAAAAUUUUAUUUGUAACUAUUAUAAACAAAUUUUGAAAAGCCAAUUAUUCCCUAGCAUGCUUUAAGUUGACAUCUAACAUUUUUAUCAUAAUUGCAUAAUAGUUACAAAGAAUAAACUUUUAAGAAUAUGAUGAAUAUUGUCCUUUCAUUUAAAAAGCAACCUUAAUCUUUUUAAUGUUUCUAACGGAAUUUAAUCAUCUUGACUUGAUAGUAAUAACUAUUAAGGAAAAAAAAAGCAUGUUCUUUUCUCCCAUCUUCUUCCUCUUCUUCUCCCUUUUUUCAACAUUUCCUGAACUAUUCAAACCAAAACUAUAGGUGAGUAGGUUUGUUUAGGACUCACUCUGAAAAGCAGAUACCUAGACAGGAUUAGGUAAUCAAGAGUGUGUGUCAGGGAAAAUGCCUGUGAGGGACAAAGGGAGGUAGCCAAAGUGGCAAGGAGAGCAUGAGACCAUGAUGCAGGGCUGCCUGCUCUGAGGGAGGAGAGAAGGAAGGAGGAAGAGUCUCAGAAUGAAUUACAACAUUGGUAAAGUGCCAGUCAGGCUGAAAGACAACGCUUGAACUGAAGUCACCUAUCAGAAGAGGCCCAGGUCUCAGAAUGAGCCUGCCUUAGUGUUCGGGCCUCACUCAGUCAUUGGCUGGGAGUAACCUGAUGGAAGCAUCCAUGACUUCUGCACAGACAUAGUGGCAGAUGCAGAGGACAGUAGCUGGGGGCAUCCAUCAGUUGCACACCCUGAAGCAGCAGGAGAUCUAAGCAGUGCAUUUCCAUGCUCACCACUGUCCUCUACCUUGUGUUGCAGUUAC
Molecule: long non-coding RNA, 1574 nt
Filed under: Homo sapiens (human)
Lineage: Eukaryota; Metazoa; Chordata; Mammalia; Primates; Hominidae
Description: HSALNT0401245
Source: RNAcentral